GACCCCAGGAACUUUUACUAACUGUUAAAUUGUAUUAACUACUGUUUUUGUUGGGGCAACAUGGGAAUAAUAAACUUUAAAACUUCCUUUAUCUAUAUGCCGACUUAGUAUGAAAAAUUAAGUUACCCUGGGGAUAACAGCGUAAUUCUUUUAGAGCUUGCGACCUCGAUGUUGGACUAGGAAUUUGGUUGGCUAGCCGCCAAUUUAUAUGGUUCUGUUCGAACUUAUUUUCCUACGUGAUCUGAGUUCAGACCGGA
RNAcentral lists this ribosomal RNA (257 nucleotides) under Elysia ornata (ornate elysia). RNAcentral's name for it is "partial 16S ribosomal RNA". Lineage: Eukaryota; Metazoa; Mollusca; Gastropoda; Plakobranchidae. The record is from RNAcentral.